GUCCAUGCCGUAAACGAUGUCUACUAGCCGUUGGGGCCUUUGAGGUUUUAGUGGCGCAGCUAACGCGAUAAGUAGACCGCCUGGGGGAGUACGGUCGCAAGACUAAAAACUCAAAUGAAUUGACGGGGGCCCGCACAAGCGGUGGAGCAUGUGGUUUAAUUCGAUGCAACGCGAAGAACCUUACCUGGCCUUGACAUAGUAGAAACUUUCCAGAGAUGGAUUGGUGCCUUCGGGAAUCUACAUACAGGUGCUGCAUGGCUGUCGU
This 265-nucleotide ribosomal RNA is filed under the name uncultured bacterium. Its description in RNAcentral is "partial 16S ribosomal RNA". It matches the Rfam family "Bacterial small subunit ribosomal RNA", at positions 793 to 1055 of the family's 1533-position model. The record is from RNAcentral.